This 793-nucleotide ribosomal RNA is filed under the name uncultured Methanotrichaceae archaeon. RNAcentral's name for it is "bacterial SSU rRNA". It matches the Rfam family "Archaeal small subunit ribosomal RNA", at positions 85 to 879 of the family's 1478-position model. The record is from RNAcentral. Lineage: Archaea; Methanobacteriati; Methanobacteriota; Methanomicrobia; Methanotrichales; Methanotrichaceae.
ACGGCUCAGUAACACGUGGACAACCUGCCCUUAGGUUGGGUAUAAACCCGGGAAACUGGGUAUAAUCCCCUAUAAGUCUCGGCAGCUGGAAUGCACCGAGAUUAAAAGCUCCGGCGCCUAAGGAUGGGUCUGCGGCCUAUCAGGUAGUAGUGGGUGUAGCGUACCUACUAGCCUACGACGGGUACGGGUUGUGAGAGCAAGAGCCCGGAGAUGGAUUCUGAGACACGAAUCCAGGCCCUACGGGGUGCAGCAGGCGCGAAAACUUUACAAUGCUGGCAACAGCGAUAAGGGAACCUCGAGUGCCAGGUUACAAAUCUGGCUGUCGAGAUGCCUAAAAAGCAUUUCAUAGCAAGGGCCGGGCAAGACCGGUGCCAGCCGCCGCGGUAACACCGGCGGCUCGAGUGGUAACCGUUAUUAUUGGGUCUAAAGGGUCUGUAGCCGGCCGGAUAAGUCUCUUGAGAAAUCUGGCAGCUUAACUGCCAGGCUUUCAGGAGAUACUGUCUGGCUCGAGGCCGGGAGAGGUGAGAGGUACUUCAAGGGUAGGGGUGAAAUCUUGUAAUCCUUGAAGGACCACCAGUGGCGAAGGCGUCUUACCAGAACGGACCUGACGGCAAGGGACGAAAGCUAGGGGCACGAACCGGAUUAGAUACCCGGGUAGUCCUAGCCGUAAACGAUACUCGCUAGGUGUCGGCCACGGUGCGACCGUUGUCGGUGCCGUAGGGAAGCCGUGAAGCGAGCCACCUGGGAAGUACGGCCGCAAGGCUGAAACUUAAAGGAAUUGGCGGGGGAGCAC